This 497-nucleotide ribosomal RNA is filed under the name uncultured bacterium. RNAcentral describes it as "partial 16S ribosomal RNA". It matches the Rfam family "Bacterial small subunit ribosomal RNA", at positions 28 to 507 of the family's 1533-position model. The record is from RNAcentral.
GAUGAACGCUGGCGGCGUGCCUAAUACAUGCAAGUCGAGCGAACGGACGAUAAGCUUGCUUCUCUGAUGUUAGCGGCUGACGGGCGAGUAACACGUGGAUAACCUUCUUCUUAGACUUGGAGAACUUCGUGAAACCGGAGCUAAUACCGGAUGAUAUUUUGAACGGCAUGGAUCAAAAGUUAUUCACGGUCUUGCCGUCACUAUUAGAUGGUUCCGCGCUGCAUUAGCUAGUUGGUAAGGUAACGGCUUACCAAGGCAACGAUGCAUAGCCGACCUGAGAGGGUGAUCGGCCACACUGGAACUGAGACACGGUCCAGACUCCUACGGGAGGCAGCAGUAGGGAAUCUUCGGCAAUGGGCGCAAGCCUGACGGAGCAACGCCGCGUGAGUGAUGAAGGUCCUCGGAUCGUAAAACUCUGUUAUUAGGGAAGAAAAUAUGUGUAAGUAACUGUGCACAUCUUGACGGUACCUAAUCAGAAAGCAACGGCUAACUACGUG